Molecule: ribosomal RNA, 210 nt
Filed under: Triticum aestivum (bread wheat)
Lineage: Eukaryota; Viridiplantae; Streptophyta; Magnoliopsida; Poales; Poaceae
Description: partial small subunit ribosomal RNA
Source: RNAcentral
AUGAGGGACUGCAUGUGGUUCCUGGCGAGCGAGUCCCCGACGAAGGCCAUGGAGCGGCCCCUGACGGCGUCGAAGAAGGCCGCCGCGUCGAACCGCGGGAGCUCGCACUGCGCCGGCCGCCAGCGCCACCUAAGGAACCCGAGGUCGGGGCGGCCGUACUUCAUGCAGUUCUGGUGCUCCUGGAUCAGCGGGCAGGUCCGGUUCGUGUAG